ANCCUAAGAACGCUGGCGGUAGGCUUAACACAUGCAAGUCGAACGGAAACGAUGAGAAGCUUGCUUUUCAGGCGUCGAGUGGCGGACGGGUGAGUAACGCGUGGGAAUCUACCCUAUAGUUGGGGACAACGUAUGGAAACGUACGCUAAUACCGAAUACGCUCUACGGAGUAAAGGAGCCCUCUUCCUGAAAGGUUUCGCUAUAGGAUGAGCCCGCGUUAGAUUAGCUAGUUGGUAAGGUAAAGGCUUACCAAGGCCACGAUCUAUAGCUGGUUUGAGAGGAUGAUCAGCCACACUGGGACUGAGACACGGCCCAGACUCCUACGGGAGGCAGCAGUGGGGAAUAUUGCACAAUGGACGCAAGUCUGAUGCAGCCAUACCGCGUGUGUGAAGAAGGCCCGAGGGUUGUAAAGCACUUUCAAUAGGGAGGAAGAUUAGACAGUUAAUACCUGUUUAGUUUGACGUUACCUAUAGAAGAAGCACCGGCUAACUCUGUGCCAGCAGCCGCGGUAAUACAGAAGGUGCAAGCGUUAUUCGGAAUUACUGGGCGUUAAGCGCGCGUAGGCGGAUGAUUAAGUCAGUUGUGAAAGCCCCGGGCUCAACCUGGGAACUGCAUCUGAUACUGGUCAUCUAGAGUUUAAGAGAGGGAAGUGGAAUUCCAGGUGUAGCAGUGAAAUGCGUAGAUAUCUGGAGGAACAUCAGUGGCGAAGGCGACUUCCUGGCUUAAAACUGACGCUGAGUGCGAAAGCGUGGUAGCAACGGAUUAAAACCCGNAUCCNCNNAANANU
Molecule: ribosomal RNA, 787 nt
Filed under: uncultured Gammaproteobacteria bacterium
Lineage: Bacteria; Pseudomonadati; Pseudomonadota; Gammaproteobacteria
Description: bacterial SSU rRNA
Rfam family: Bacterial small subunit ribosomal RNA
Source: RNAcentral